AAGGGAAUAUCCUAAACAAGAUUUAAAAGUCUUAGAGUUGGAAAGAUCUAACCAAUGGGAAGCAAUCCAUAAGACAAGAAUGUCAGAUAGAAACCCAUUUCCUUUGGACUUUAAGCAAGCAACAAGCAUAAUCAUCCAAGCAAUUAAUAUGAAGACCAAUGGUAUCAAAUAAAGAUAACCAAACAUCCAAGCAAGCCUCCAAAAGCAAGCGGUCUU
This 216-nucleotide long non-coding RNA is filed under the name Lathyrus oleraceus (garden pea). RNAcentral describes it as "Pisum sativum (pea) long non-coding RNA (PSAT_LNC042118)". The record is from RNAcentral. Lineage: Eukaryota; Viridiplantae; Streptophyta; Magnoliopsida; Fabales; Fabaceae.